UAAGGAAUAUUGGUCAAUGGACGCAAGUCUGAACCAGCCAUGCCGCGUGAAGGAUGAAGGCCCUAUGGGUUGUAAACUUCUUUUAUACGGGAAGAAACCCCGAUACGUGUAUCGGGUUGACGGUACUGUAAGAAUAAGGAUCGGCUAACUCCGUGCCAGCAGCCGCGGUAAUACGGAGGAUCCAAGCGUUAUCCGGAUUUAUUGGGUUUAAAGGGUGCGUAGGCGGCUUAUUAAGUCAGUGGUGAAAGCCUUCAGCUUAACUGAAGAAUUGCCAUUGAUACUGAUGAGCUUGAGUAUAGUUGAGGUGGGCGGAAUGUGUCAUGUAGCGGUGAAAUGCUUAGAUAUGACACAGAACACCGAUUGCGAAGGCAGCUCGCUAAACUAUAACUGACGCUGAGGCACGAAAGCGUGGGUAGCAAACAGG
RNAcentral lists this ribosomal RNA (424 nucleotides) under uncultured bacterium. Its description in RNAcentral is "bacterial SSU rRNA". It matches the Rfam family "Bacterial small subunit ribosomal RNA", at positions 355 to 776 of the family's 1533-position model. The record is from RNAcentral.